This 253-nucleotide ribosomal RNA is filed under the name uncultured bacterium. Its description in RNAcentral is "partial 16S ribosomal RNA". It matches the Rfam family "Bacterial small subunit ribosomal RNA", at positions 524 to 776 of the family's 1533-position model. The record is from RNAcentral.
UACGAAGGGUGCAAACGUUGCUCGGAAUUAUUGGGCGUAAAGGGAGUGUAGGCGGCUUGUUAAGUCUUCUGUGAAAUCUACGGGCUCAGCCUGUAACGUGCAGAGGAAACUGGCGAGCUUGAGUGUCGGAGAGGAUAGGGGAAUACCCGGUGUAGAGGUGAAAUUCGUAGAGAUCGGGUGGAACACCAGUGGCGAAGGCGCCUAUCUGGCUGACAACUGACGCUGAGACUCGAAAGCAUGGGGAGCAAACAGG